UCCUCUCUAAAGUUUCGGUUUUGCGAGACUUUGUUUCUCGCGCUGCUCUCCGUGUGAUUUCGCUUUUCGAAAGUCAUUUAUUGUGAAAAUGUGAGCGCCAUCGUAGAAACGACGUACAUAUGGUAAUGUGUUUCUGUCACGGCUGCGGCUCUCGCCGAACAGAAAGCAGCUCUGUCACGGGAACACGUUUUGUCGAAAGUUUCAACAAUCUCUUCGUGGACACAAUGACGCCUCUACGUUUCGCUGUUGUCUUCGUCCUCCUCUUUGGUGCAUUUGUCGCCAGUGAAGCUGCACCUGAAGGACACGAGCUUGAACGUCGUCAACUUGAGGUGGAACUCUGCGCUUGUCUUCCGAGUGUUACCGAUUGCCCUACCAAAAGUUGCACAGUGGCGAGCGGAUGUAUGAAAUGCGCCGAUGCCUCGCUAUGCCUUUGUAUUGAUGUCACUUGCCCUGGGAAAAGAUGCACAACGGCAAGCAAGUGUAAGACAUGCUCCAUCUAAGGAUGAACAACGUGGCUGACCGGCAACCGUUAACAACGAAACGAUCAAUUGCACGUAUAUGAAAUAAGAGACCCUGGUCUUUCCUUUUACUAACAUGGUCAUAGGUGGCGGGAACUUUUAAGGGCAAUAAAUUGUACUAAGCAGCAGA
Long non-coding RNA from Ornithodoros turicata, 648 nucleotides. RefSeq lists it as uncharacterized. The transcript has 4 exons. Lineage: Eukaryota; Metazoa; Arthropoda; Arachnida; Ixodida; Argasidae. The record is from RefSeq and is a predicted model, not a curated record.